AUUCGAAGCAACGCGAAGAACCUUACCAGGUCUUGACAUCCUUCGCUACCUCUAGAGAUAGAGGGUUCCCCUUCGGGGGACGGAGUGACAGGUGGUGCAUGGUUGUCGUCAGCUCGUGUCGUGAGAUGUUGGGUUAAGUCCCGCAACGAGCGCAACCCUUGACCUUAGUUGCCAGCAUUCAGUUGGGCACUCUAAGGUGACUGCCGGUGACAAACCGGAGGAAGGUGGGGAUGACGUCAAAUCAUCAUGCCCCUUAUGACCUGGGCUACACACGUGCUACAAUGGAUGGUACAAAGGGUCGUGAAACCGCGAGGUGGAGCCAAUCCCAAAAAACCAUUCUCAGUUCGGAUUGCAGGCUGCAACUCGCCUGCAUGAAGCCGGAAUCGCUAGUAAUCGCGGAUCAGCAUGCCGCGGUGAAUACGUUCCCGGGCCUUGUACACACCGCCCGUCACACCACGAGAGUUUGCAACACCCGAAGUCGGUGAGGUAACCCUUACGGGAGCCAGCCGCCGAAGGUGGGGCAGAUGAUUGGGGUG
This 536-nucleotide ribosomal RNA is filed under the name uncultured bacterium. RNAcentral describes it as "bacterial SSU rRNA". It matches the Rfam family "Bacterial small subunit ribosomal RNA", at positions 949 to 1482 of the family's 1533-position model. The record is from RNAcentral.